Molecule: unclassified non-coding RNA, 240 nt
Filed under: soil metagenome
Description: partial contains 5.8S ribosomal RNA, internal transcribed spacer 2, and large subunit ribosomal RNA
Source: RNAcentral
AACCUUAUGGACCUGCGGGCGUAUACCUGCGGAAGGAUCAUUAGAGUAAGAAAGAGGGAAAGGAGGUUUUUGGGCGCAACUUAGCUCAAACCAUUUUCCUUUUUAUCCAACUCAUUCCGGCCGAGAGUUUUCCGGUAGGGGGAUUCUCGGCCGUGGGGUGUUUGGGGGGGAGGAGGAGGAGGAGGAGAGAAGAAAAAAGGGGGGGGGAGAGGGGUAGGUAAGGAGGGGAGGAGGGAGGGA